CCCCAUCCUGUUCUUGUGAUAGUAAGUUAGUUCUCACGAGAUCUGAUGAUUUUAUAAGGGGCUUUUCCACCUUUUGCUUGGCACUUCUUUGCGGCUGCCAUGUGAAGAUGGACGGGUUUGCUUCCUUUUCUGUCACGCUUGUAAGAUUCCUGAGGCCUCCCCAGCACUGCAAAACUGCAUAGGAGCCUCUUUCAAUGGCUGCCACCACCAAAGACCCAUGGACUUCUGGGAAAUACUGCCUAUCUUCCUGCCUGCCGAAAUGGAUGCUUCCUUCCCUUGAACAUCAGACUCAGUUCUUCAGCUUUUGGACUCUUGGACUUAACACCUGUGAUUUGCCAGGGGCUCUCGGGCCUUUGGCUACAGACUGAAGGCUGCACUAUCGGUUUCCCUACUUUCGAGGUUUUGGGACUCGGACUUGCUUCCUUGCUCCUAGCUUGCAGACAGGCUAUCGUGUGUCUUCACCUUGUGAUCGUGUUCAGCUGCUCACCACUGGAAAGCCAAACACAGAAGAUGAAAUUUGAUGAGAAGAAAAGCAGUUUUAUUUGGAAAGCCAGCAAAACUGAGAAGACGGUGAAAUAGCAUUUACAAGUAUGAUCUUACAUUUUUUAGCCUGGCCAGAGGGUAUUUAUGUGAGGGAGGAUAGAGGAAACUAUGUUCUUGCAUUAGAAUCAAGGGGUUACUGAGUACUGCAGACAUCUGGGCACCAGUAAGGGUCUGAGAAGUUUGGGAACUUCUUUGUUAUUGAUCAGGUCACAAUAUUUCUGUAAAUCUUUAACAAAUCAUAGUUGUUUACAUACUUUUUUAAAACCCAGGGAUAGUUUUUAAAACUACAUGAUAAUUGUUUUUGCAUAUUAUGUUGGUACUCUAAAAUUAGCCUAGCCUACGUGCAGGAAUGGGUAAAGGCCCUUUAAACAAAAAUGAAGUGGGUUGUGUUAGUUCUUUUGCCUUCUCACUGUUACAUCUUUAGCCUACACAACGUGAGGACAAUAAGAAUGAAAACCUUUAUGAUGAUCCAAUUCUACUUAAUACAUAAUAAAAAUAUUUUCUCUUCUUUAUACUUUUCUUAAUAACCUUUUUAUUUUUUCUAGGUUACUUUAUUGUAAAAAUACAGUAUAUGAUACAUAUAACAUAAAACAUGUUAAUAAACUGCUUAUGUUACCAGUAAGCCUUCUGGUCAAUAGUGGACUAUUAGUAGUUACAUUUUUGGGAAGUCAAAAGUUACCCAUAAAUGUUCAACUGCAUGAGAAGUUGGUACCUCAUCCCCUAUAUUGCUCAAGGGUCAACUGUACUUUCUAAACUCAUGAUGGAAACUUUCAUGUAGUUCUAUUAUAUAUGAGAUACAGACCAAGAUACAGAUCAAACUGGCUAAGGCCAGCUCAAAUUUAAAUUCAAUUAGGAUUAAGAUGACCAGUAGAGACUUGAAAAGUAGUGGCUGAAGUAAGUUAGAGGUUUAUUUUUCUCUUCUGUGAAAAUGUGACUUUAAGUGGUACAAGACUGGUAGGCAGCUUUGACUCAUGAAGUUUUCAAGGAUUCAGAAUCCUUUUAUACUAAUGCUUCACUUUGUAUUGCCUCCAUCCUCAAGUCAUUACAUCUGCAUUCUAGCCAGCAGGAAGGAUAAGGGGAAAAAGAAGAAGAAAAGAAUAAAGUGUGCAUGCUAAGAAAGCUGCCAUCCACCAUUUCCACUUAUAACCAUUUUUGCCAGACCCUAAUCACACAACCACAUGUGUCUACAAAGGAGACUGGGAAAUAUAGUUUUUAUUCUAAACAGCCAGAAUGGAGGUCUUAUUAUAAUGGAAAGAAAUGUGAAUAUAUAGUUGGGCACAAAUAAUAGUCUCUGCCAUAAAUAGAUAGCUUGCAAAUAGAUAACAGUGAUCACAAAUAUGCAUGUAUUCUAUAUAACUAUUACUUAACAAAAAAUAAUAAAUCCCAUCUCCACUCUGAAAUGCAACCCUGGUUUAUUAUAGAACAUUUGAAUUGACAUAGAGGAAACCUUCUUGAUUAGUAUAGAACCAUUUUAAACUGAAAUCAUGCUAUUCUUCUAUACUAUACUAGGUGUUGUAUUUUCCUCUAAUUUGGUCUUGAAGUCUCCCUAUCAAGGGUGGUGAUAAACUCUAGCCCUGCCAUGAUGGGACUCCAGGGAAGAUGAUUGUGAAUGUUUACAAUGUGCCUUUCACAGGACAUUUCUUUAUUGUGGUGGAGGGCCUAAUGCCUAAAUGCCCCACACAUGACCAGGUGUCCCCCUCACAGAAAACUUAUUUAUACUGGAAGAUAGCCUUGUGUCUCUUGUCUCAUUAGUGUUCACUUUAUUUCUUCCAGAUUUGCUUCAGGUAUUCUGUGAUAUGGCAGAAUCAGAAUCAGAUUAUAACCCAAACAGGCAAUGGAAGAAAAAACAGGGCAUCAGGGACUAUAUAGAGUCCAGUAGACAUUGUUUUGACUGAACAACCAGAUGAGUAAUUUGCUCUUAAAUGAUUGGGUAACAAAUAAAAAGAGGGUCAGAAAUUCUAAGCCCAUGAAUUAGGGAAGAGCUGGGAAUAAGAUAUUGUUGUCAUGUGUCAGCCGAAAGGGCAAGAGCCCAGGUCCUUGAAAAUUUUGUUUAAUGACUUACUUGAUAACUUGACUGCUUUUUAUUGAUCCAGUUGCCUUCACCACUGGGUAUAGACACCAGAGAACAGACAUAUGCAAGAUGAUUUAAAGACAUGAGCAUAUUCACAUGAGACUAGGAUGAUGGUGUCUUAUUACAUAGAAAUUGAUGGUAUACUCCAAGCAUUUUUACUUUGACAUUGCAGUCACCAUUUUCCAUCGUAUACUUGGUAUCAGUUAUGCCAAUUAUUUACUGCAAUUUCUGUGCUUUGCAAUAACUGAGCUGUAGUAGAAAAUAACCUAUCCAUGCUCAGCAAUAUGACUUUACUUAUGACUAGAAUUUUGGGUUCUGGUUUUAAAACAAAUAUUUAUGAGAGUAAAAGCAAUCAGUUCUUCUCAAGUGAAAAAAAAAUGAGUUGCUAAGGCCAGUUUGAAUUGAAAUAGCCUGAGACUAAUGGGUCCCUUGGAGAAAGAGACCCUGAAAGAGAAGGGGUAGAGGAUAUAGAAAAGAAGGAAGAGAGAUAAAGCUCAACUCCUUUACAAUUUUGUUGGCUGUUCCUGAGUGUCAUUACACAGUCAAACCACCUGCUUUGAAACCACUGCCAGAGAGAUGUCAAAGAUUGUUUUAUUUUGAGCAUGAGGACACAGUCCACUAAAAGAAAGAACGCCACAUUUGUUCAAUUUUUUUUUACCAAUUGUCACAUAAUUUCUGCCAGCCUUCUUAUUCAAAGAUACAUUUUUUUCUUCACUGCAUGCAUAACAUGAAAUGCAACUUUUACUGUGUCCAUAAAGCACCAAAUGAGCUGAAAAUUUAACAAUUGUACAGAUCCCUUGAUAAAUUAAGACAGCUAAUCUGGAUAAUUUAGAUAAAUCACAUGAAAAGAAUUAUGUAAUCUGAUAAAGAUAACUGUAAAAUUGCCCAAUAUCCAUUCAUUAUGCAGCUAAAUCCUCAAGUAAUGCUCUGAAAUGAACUAUGGAAAGUACAUACUAAAGAUAUUUCAAUGAAAUGUUUAAACAUCUCAGUUAUGGGGGCAUUACUCCUUCAACUAAUUUUUUAAUGUUACAUUAAACAUUUUGUACUUGGUUUGUAUUAAGUUUUUAUGUACUUUAAAUGUACUGAAGUUUGAAUGGUUUUCUACUGGAAGAAGCAGCAUUUUUGUGCAAUAGCAAAAGCACUGGACUCAAAGAAAAGAGAUCUGACUUUUGUUCCAACCCUAAUAGUAAUAAAUCAAGUGACUUCUGACAAGUCCCUUAACCCUUUCAAGUCUCCGUUUCUUUGACCAUUGAACUAAAAGUAAUCACGCCUGCCUGUCUACCUUAUAGGGUUGUUGUGGUUAUGAAAUGGUUAUACAUAUCAAUCCAUUUAGAAACGUUUAAUGGGAGGUUUA
This 3968-nucleotide long non-coding RNA is filed under the name Homo sapiens (human). RNAcentral's name for it is "HSALNT0283980". Lineage: Eukaryota; Metazoa; Chordata; Mammalia; Primates; Hominidae. The record is from RNAcentral.